GUAACUUCUUUUUCUAGUAUAACCACUGCAAAUCACAUCAUAUAUUACUUGUCUUAGAGCUCAAAUUGUUCUAAGAGAUGCAUGAGAAGUCUGGGCUUGGAAUGCGCUAACUAAAUGAUAUGCUUUAGCUAAAUUUUGGUUUUGUUAGCUGCAAUUUUUAAGUCAAAUGCAAAUUACAAAAUAAAACUUUUAGGUAAAAUGUCAAGUAAAAAGCAAGUUCAUUUAUAGGAAUUAUAACAUGUUUUGUUCCACAAAAUGCUGAGUUGAAAAUGUGUUCUUUUUGAAGCAUUUUUCAAGGGGUGCAGCUUAGGUUGUGGAAUUGUCAUUUUGCAAAUUGCAAAUUAAUCCUGCUUGAUUGUUGUUUUGCCGCAUCAUAUGAGACUGGCUGAUUGAAAUUUUUAGCAUGUAGUUAUUGGUAUUUAUCAAUUUGAUGGU
Molecule: unclassified non-coding RNA, 435 nt
Filed under: Hevea brasiliensis (rubber tree)
Lineage: Eukaryota; Viridiplantae; Streptophyta; Magnoliopsida; Malpighiales; Euphorbiaceae
Source: RNAcentral